CCUACGGGAGGCAGCAGUGGGGAAUAUUGCACAAUGGGCGGAAGCCUGAUGCAGCGACGCCGCGUGAGGGAUGAAGGCCUUCGGGUUGUAAACCUCUUUCAGCAGGGACGAAGCGUGAGUGACGGUACCUGCAGAAGAAGCACCGGCUAACUACGUGCCAGCAGCCGCGGUAAUACGUAGGGUGCGAGCGUUGUCCGGAAUUACUGGGCGUAAAGAGUUCGUAGGCGGUUUGUCGCGUCGUUUGUGAAAACCCGGGGCUCAACUUCGGGCUUGCAGGCGAUACGGGCAGACUUGAGUGUUUCAGGGGAGACUGGAAUUCCUGGUGUAGCGGUGAAAUGCGCAGAUAUCAGGAGGAACACCGGUGGCGAAGGCGGGUCUCUGGGAACAACUGACGCUGAGGAACGAAAGCGUGGGUAGCAAACAGGAUUAGAUACCCUGGUAGUCCACGCCGUAAACGGUGGGCGCUAGGUGUGGGUUCCUUCCACGGGAUCUGUGCCGUAGCUAACGCAUUAGCGCCCGCUGGGAGACGCGCGAGACGUAAACGUAAAGUAAGUAGACGGCGNGAAGACGUGCGAGACGACGACGAGGGAGGAGG
This 595-nucleotide ribosomal RNA is filed under the name uncultured bacterium. RNAcentral's name for it is "bacterial SSU rRNA". The stretch from base 1 to 521 matches the Rfam family "Bacterial small subunit ribosomal RNA", at positions 338 to 873 of the family's 1533-position model. The record is from RNAcentral.